Molecule: long non-coding RNA, 31970 nt
Filed under: Lotus japonicus
Lineage: Eukaryota; Viridiplantae; Streptophyta; Magnoliopsida; Fabales; Fabaceae
Description: long non-coding RNA (LJAP_LNC000077)
Source: RNAcentral
AAAAAAAAAAAAGUGGUUUCCUUGGAGCGCGUGAUGUGCACGCACCAAUUAACAACAAACGUAAUAGAUGUCGCUUGAAGUGUGUUGGUCUUAACUCUGCACACAUUGAUUGUAUGGUCUGAAAGAAACCAAUGGCUACUGCGAAGAUAGGACUCGGAGUCCCGACUCACCGAGUCACCUCCGCGGCAGCUCUUUCCUCCGCUGCGUUUACUCCGCCACCGCCCAAUCAGCACCGCCUCAUCUUCAUCAACGCCCGCCGCACUCUCCGUACUCGCACUUCCUCGCUCACACUCCGAGCCUCCGCUUCCCCCUCCUCCUCCUCCGUGGCCUCACAAGGUUACUCGCACCAUCCACUCUUUCUCUGCAAUUGCAAAUGAAUGUCACUCUAGUUCGAGAGAAGUGAGGGCGGUGAAUUCAAUGCUUGCAUGCUAAUUUUAUAUUUUUGGGAAUUAGUUUUCUCACCACCCAUUUAGAUAUUCUUACCCUUUCGCACUUUCAAUUUGCGGAAUGUGUAAUUUGUGUUCCGCACUUAUAAGUGUGGUGUGUAGUAAAUUUGGGUGGCGAGAAAAUGAAAAAGGUUGGCAUUUAAACUAAUUCCCUGUAUUUUUAUGGUUGUAAAUUUGUGAAGUUUUGGAGAGAAAUGAGGUUGCUACACAUUUUGUUGGUCUGUUCUCGGCCUUAAAAUUGCAAUUUGUAUAUGGAGUAUUCUUGUUGGGGCUAAAACCCAAGAUGUUACUGUUAAUUGAUAUGCUGUGUUGGAUUUGUGGCUUAACCAGCAACUUUUUGAUGUAGAAUUGAAGUGAUAGUAGAAAUUGGGCAAUAGGAAUUCGCAAUGGUGGGUAGUAGUUGAAGGAUUUAAGGGAUAUGGCUUGGUAGAAUGUAGUGGAGAUUGAUAAGUUGCACUUAAUUUUUCAUUUGAAGGUAUCUAACACUUAGAGUUGGGAAGAUGAUUAUGCAUUUUCAUGUUAGACAUUUAGGCCAGUUAACAAGGGCAACUGUGUAUCAUCAUAUGGUGAAUACUGUUUUGCUUUGAUCAAACUAGAGCUUAGCUUCUUCGCAAUGUUAAUUUAACAACAUUAUAUAAAGAUUUUAUGUUAACUCCUAUCAUAAUACUGAUGGCUUCGAAGUCGGAUAUGACACAGGAUGAGGGGUUGAAGAUCUGGUGUACUCCCCCCACCCUAUAUUGAAACUAAGUUGUUGAAGGUCUCUUUAGAUCCUCCUAGCUACGAGUUUUAGGAUUCCUUUACUCGUUAUGAGUUCAUUCUACACAGAGAACAAAACUAUUGACUUUUCAGUUCAGAGUCUGACUUCUUACUGUAUGUGAUGUAAUUCUUAAUUUCUUAUUGGUUUUACUUUUAUUUUACCAAGAUAAGCAAAGUUGACAAUUACAUCUUUUUCCUUCUCACAGCAAAAGGAGUUGAGAAUGUGGUAAUUAUAGGAUCAGGCCCUGCAGGAUACACAGCAGCAAUAUAUGCAGCCCGUGCCAAUUUGAAACCUGUAGUAUUUGAGGGGUACCAAGUGGGUGGUGUUCCCGGGGGACAGUUGAUGACUACAACUGAAGUGGAGAACUUUCCAGGAUUUCCUGAUGGGAUAAGCGGGCCUGAUUUGAUGGACAGGUAUUAAAAACAGAAGUAAAAACUUGUUAUAGCUCAUGUUACCUUGUAAUUUAUUGUACUUGUAUGGACCCUGAAGUUAACACAUAAUCUAAUUAUCUAGGAUGCGACGGCAAGCUGAACGUUGGGGAGCAGAAUUGUAUCAAGAAGAUGUUGAAGCUAUUGAUGUGAAAAAUAGCCCUUUUACUGUCCAAAGUAGUGAACGUAAGGUGAUAUGUUCAUUAACAGCAAGCUGAUUUACGAUUGCAUAGAUAUUAAUAUACCUGAACAUUAAGGCUUGUGUCUUUUCAACUUAAUUGGUUCUUUGAGUCCACUGUGAUGUGCUUCUUUUAUGGAAUUAAAUUAUUGCAAAUUAUUGUAUAUAUUUGGUAGCAGCUUUUAUUUGAAAACAAUUUGUUGAGUAUUUCACUCUUAAUGUGAGUCCUGAAAGUCCUAUAAAUUACAGACUAUCUACUGAAUUAUUACCAUUACUUUUGAUAUUGAUUUACAUGCAUUCUGAGUUCUGUCAUCAGUUUGUUGUCUAAUUGUAAUACCUUUCUAGUCAUGUUUCUUUGGAGGAAAAGUUUUUGUUAGUUACAUAAGGUUUUCUUGAUCACAUUAUAAUUCAGGUUAAGUGCCAUGCUGUCAUCUAUGCUACUGGGGCCACUGCAAAACGACUUAGGCUACCCCGAGAAGAUGAAUUUUGGAGCCGAGGAAUUAGUGCUUGUGCAAUUUGUGAUGGUGCAUCACCUCUCUUUAAGGGUCAAGUUCUUGGUGUCGUAGGUGGGGGGGAUACAGCUACGGAGGAAGCAUUAUACUUGACAAAAUAUGCUCGUCAUGUUCACCUACUUGUACGGCGAGACCAGCUAAGGGCUUCCAGAGCCAUGCAAGACAGGUGUGUCUAAUUAAUACUUCCCAGAGGCAUGCCUGUUAGUUGUUAAGGAACAGCUAACUCUGCAGUGUAUGUUAAAGUUUACAGUAAUUACCUCCUCCUAUACACUUCAUAAUGUAUUCCUUUUAGUUUCUCAACUCUCUCUCUCUCUCUCUCUCUCUCUCUCUCUCACACACACACACACACACACACACACAUGCACACAUAAUUCCGGUGGAAAGAUGGAAUUUAAACAAACUGUGUUAGAUUAGUCUUCUAAAUAUUUCGUUGAUGGCAAGGUUCUCUAUAGAUGAAGCUUUAUUUAACAUUAGGCAUAAUGUCUAUUACUUUCCAUCUUACGUUGAUUGAGGUCAUGCAUAUUGUAAAUUAUUGUAUUUUUUUCUAUUUGUAUUGGCUUCUUUGUUUAAUAAUGAAUUUUGUGUCUUCCUUUUUUUCUUUUUAUAUGCAUAGUUGAGUUGAUGGGUAAUCAGUCCUUUCUUGCUAUUUAGUGAUCUGUUAAGAAUUCUGCCUGUGCCAAUAAUUUGUGUUGGGUGUAACAAUAGUUUGUAGGCUUUUUGUUACCAAUCUGAAGUUUCUUUUGGCUGUAAUUCACUUGGAAAAUAUUUGGUAUUUUAAGGUGUCUUGUGCUUUGGAUUAUAGUAGUGAAAACUAUAUUUAUCCUAUGGACAUAACAUGUUUGAUCUUCUCGCUUAUGGGGAAGCCAUGCUCACUCUCUUUUUGCACAUGGAUUCAAAAUACUGUUUUGCAUACAAGUGUAGUAUUCUUAUGUUUGUCAUUAUGUCUGUAUUUCAUAUAGACUUCGAAAAAGCAAUUAUAUCAUGUUGUAGUACCAUUUUAGUGCAGGCAAAUGGAAGCAAAUUAUUCGGAAUGUGAAAUUUUACAUUAAUGGCCAAAUACUAGAAGCGUAUUUUAUUUGAGGUCUAAAUUAUCAUUCCAAUGUGGGCCAUGAGCUCAUGCUAUGAGCUUCUGUAUCUGGAUUCUGAUAUUUAAUUAGCAAAGAGCAAUUAUUUUUAUUUAAGUUUAUCUUAGAGGAGAAAUUGAAGAUUACCUUUUUCCUGGGCAUUUCUUUGCAUUCUCCAGACUCUAGGUAGUAGGUACUAGUUGUUUGACUCUUGAGUUUUUAUUAUGAGGAUAAACAAAUAGGAUUUUGUAUUAUAUAUCUUCUUUUGUUGUCUUCCUAAUCAGUCUGUAUUUAUGUGGAGUGUUUUAUUAGGAUAUCUUUAUGAUGGUGAGUUAUCUACUAAGUACUAAUGAACAUUUUUUAUGUGAGUUUUCAACUCCCCUGAAUGUUUGUUUAACAGGUUGAUUAUCACGAAUGUUUCAGAGUGUUUGACAAUCCCAAUGUCACCGUGCACUUCAAUACAGAGACUGUGGACAUUGUGAGCAAUACUAAAGGACAGAUGUCUGGCAUUUUAAUUCGAAAGAUUGAUACUGGGGAGGAAUCUGUGUUGGAGGCUAAAGGGCUAUUUUAUGGCAUAGGCCAUUCACCAAAUAGUGAACUGUUGAAAGGUCAAGUAAAACUUGACCAGUCUGGCUACAUACUUGUUGAGGAGGGUACUGCAAAAACUUCAGUUGUAGGUGUAUUUGCUGCUGGAGAUGUGCAGGUAACCUAUCGAGUGCCUUUCUGCAAGAUAGUCUACGAUUCUACAUUAAGAAGAAUAAUAGGGAGUAUUGGGAAUCAGAGCCUCAACCUGCUAUUAACAACAUAAUCUGUUAUUAAUAGAAAUAAAAGGAAAACUGUAGUAACUGUUUAGUUGGUUACUGUAUAUAGAGAGCUGUUAUAACUUAUAAGGCAUUUGUAGAGAGUAAUUGGAGGUUAUCCAUUGUUUUGGUUAAAAGAGGGAGAGAAGUCCAGUCUCAUACUGGGAGAGGAGAACCCACGUUCUACACUGCUAUUCACCUCUAUUCUUUUCACCUUGGUACCCAUUCAGAGAUUGUGUGCUUUAUAUAUAACGAUCCAUUACUGUAUCUGUACCUAAAUUAUGGUCCAGUUCUAUUGCGAUGCUACAUUGUCUACAAUAAUGUUAUACAACGUAUAUUAAGUUUAGGCAGUAGCUGCAAGAGUAGGAGGAUGUCAUUUGACCAACAUCUUAUAAAUAUAUAUCAUUUUUUAACAGUCACUGACAUAGCACAACGGCGUCAUUUGAUCCAUAUAACUAUUUUCUGAUGAGAUAAGGCUUUAUUAUUUGUUAAAAAAAUUUGAAAUGCCAUUUUUGGUGGCAGAAUUUUGACCAGUUCCCAUUAAAUUAAUUAUGAUAGCUGUUAAUAUGUAGAUGUAGCAUAUGUUUGAUUAUGAAUUAUGCAAAUUUAUUAUGAAGUUUAUUGUCUGAGUUUAUUUUGUGAUUUGCUAUUACCUUCUGUAUGGAAUAAAAAGUCACUGUGGUAGGCACCUUUAUAAAGUUUAUUUCUUAUACUCUCAUAGGACCAUGAGUGGAGGCAAGCCGUAACUGCUGCUGGAUCUGGAUGCAUUGCUGCUUUAUCAGUUGAGAGAUAUCUUGUUAGCAAUAAUCUUCUUAUAGAGUUCCAUCAGGUAUCAGAGUUCAAAGAGCUCCAAUUUUAUAUGCACUUAUUUUACUUCUUGUAUGUAUAACUAAAAUGAAUUGCAUAUCAUAUUGUCAGCUUACUAUGUUUUUUUAAUUCACGUUCUUAAUUAUUGCGCUUCACUCAGUAGAAGCAGAAUCGAUUUUAGCUGGAUUUGUUUGUAAAAUGUUUAUAAAUUGGACAAACAUACAAACCUUUAUAAAGAUAGUGUAUUGAAUUCUCAAAUCUACUGAGUUCCUUAAAAUUGUCAGUGGGAAAUGUUUGUAAGUAGUUCUCUAUUGGUUUUGGAGCUCAACUAAACUAUUGUCUUCGAGCAGUCUGCUGUAUUUCUCUUAUCCCAUUGACAUGCAAUGAAAUCUUAUUUAAUGACAUAGUGAUAGGUUGUGUGGGUGAUGUGCUGCAGAGGUUUACAGUGAAAGGAACAUAAAAACUUGAGUGUGCAUCAUUCAUUCUUAUAUUUUACUUUUUAAAAUCUUGCACAGACGACCUUUCUCGUUUAUAAAGCUAUUGACAAUAAUUCACAGUAAAUUAUUUUACCUAAAUAGGGAUCGUCUGAGGAAAUGUUGAUUAUUUACCUAGUGAAAUAGUGGGAAAUGGCUCUGGUUGUUUUGAUGGAUGUGGUCUGAUGAAGUCAUACACAUUUGGAUGCAAACCAAAGAGCACUUAUUGUAUUCGUACCUUAUUUAGUGCUUUUUCUAGUAGAUAAGCUCCAAUAAGCCCUUAUCCAAGCAGGCUCAUUACUAUUAGUGUUUUGAAUAUGCUUUUACUAAAAUCCUUGUUAUCUGCCGCUGUUCAGGAUCUUUCCAAGAGAAGGACAUUAAAGCAAAUAUGAAGAAAUGAUAUACCAACCUAUUAUACGUUUCUGUUUGGCCCUAUGUUUAAAGAAUAUGAAUGGCAUAAAUUUGUUGCUAGUAAACAAUAACAUACUAAUAAUAGGGAACUGUCAUUACAUUAAAUCAGUUGAUUAAUUCCCUAUUCAUGACAUGUCGUUAUAGUGUUGUUUGGUCUACGUAGCUGAUUGCGCCUAGUUGAAAGAGGAUUUCAAUGUUGUAGUUGAUUCACGCAGUAUAUUCCGAUACAAAUCUCAACCUUCCAAUUUUAUUUCCUGUUUCAGCCUAAAACUGAUGAGGUUAAGAAGGAACUAACAGACAGGGAUGUUCACGAGGGCUUUGACAUUUCACUUACAAAGCAUAAGGGACAGGUACGUCUUCCUUAUAGGUGCUUGUGCUAAUGGGAUUAAUUCUCAGCAUCUGUUAUGUUCAUAUAGUCUCUUUUUUAUUUAAUUCUUUGGUUUUAUUAUAAUAUAGGCUCUUAUUUGUGAUUUCCUCUUUACAGUAUGCUCUACGAAAAUUGUACCAUGAAAGUCCCAGGCUUAUAUGUGUAUUAUAUACGUCACCCACAUGUGGACCGUGUAGAACACUGAAGCCAAUUCUUAGUAAGGUAUGUGAAAAAGGGAGGUUUAAAGUUAUCUUAGUACUUGUUGAAUGAGAAAAAGACAAGAGGCACUAGUUGAAUCAGUGUGUUUCAACUACUCAGCAGGGUCAACUACUCAUGACAUUAUACGUAAGCACUUAGUAGGCAUGAAUAUACAAUGGUCUUGUGAUACUGAUAUGGUGGCAUGGUGCAGAACCUUUUUUUUUCAGUAAAUUAAAAAUGAAUAGCUACGCUGCAUCAUGCAUUGAGAUGUAUGGGACUAUGGGUCCAUCUACUGCUUGUUUUCUCGCUUUGGAAUGUAGUGGAAUAGAUCUACUUAGAUGUUAGGGUGUUCUCAAAAUCUCAAUAACAAUGUGUUAUGGACUAGAGCCGGCCCAGUCCGCAUUGGCCCACCUUGCCCGGCCAAACUGAGUAGAGUUUAGGGCCAGACUGCGUUUUGGGCCAGGAAUUUGGUCCGCAACACAAUACAUAACUCUUUGUACUUGACUGAAAUGAGUGCAUAUUACCAUGUAUUUGCAAUUUUACGUACAAGCAUGCUGUCAUGCCGUUUUGAAAUGAGUAAGCAUUGAUGUUGAACUGCUGCAUGGCAUAUGAAGUAAAUGAAACUACUUUCGCUUCCAUAUUUAUCAUUACUUUUUUUAACAUCUACCUUGGCAGGUGAUUGAUGAAUUUGAUCAGAAUGUACAUUUUGUCGAAAUUGAUAUAGAGGAAGAUCAAGAAGUAGCGGCAGCAGCUGGAAUCAUGGGCACUCCAUGUGUGCAGUUUUUUAAAAACAAGGAGAUGCUUAAGUGAGUCAUAUUUGAUCUAUUUCUCUAAUUCUCCUAUUUUUCAUGUACCAAAAUAUAAGAUUCAAGCAUAAGAUUGUUAUCAUAGUAUCCCUAAAAUAUGAACAUGAGCUGAAAAUGGAUAUCCUAAAGCUGCUCACUUCCAUCUUUAUGCUUAGUGACAGGCCUGCUUCAUGGAUAUUCUUGCUGGUUUUUGACCGCUGAUGAUUGUACACUGAUUUUGCAGGACUGUUUCAGGAGUCAAAAUGAAGAGAGAAUACAGAGAAUUCAUUGAAUCGAAUAAAUAAAAAAGUACAUAAAAACAUUGGAGGGUGAAACCCCAAUUCUGUGAUUCAAUUUUGUUUUCUUAUUGGCCAGCUGAAUAGCGCUGUCAAUUUUGACAACUAUUCUUUUAACUGAUUGCAACUUCAUAGAUUGUACAUGUAGAGAUACCAAUCACUGCUAUAAUUUUGAUUGUUCUACAUUAUAUUUUUCCUAUUUAAAUUACAGAAUCCCAACUAAGAACAUCUCAUUUACGACACCCAUCUUUUGUCAGCAUCCAAGCUGAAAUGACUGUCCAUAUUUAUUAUUUCUUGACAUUUUAAUUGAUAAGUCAUGGCAAAUUUAAUGUAACCUAUUGUCCACGUUUAUAUUAUACAUGUGUCAGCGAAAACUGCUUAACCCUUGUUUAAACAUUCUCUUCUUUCAAAACAUUGUUUUCUAUUAAAGAGAGAUGAUGCAACCGUGUAAUGGAGCAUGUUUGAGUUCAAAAGUUAAUAGAAGAGGAGGUAUUUCGGAUGAUCUAAUUUGAAGUCUAGUGAUCAACUUAGUUGAUCUGUGAUGGCUGAAUCAAUUGUUGCAUAAUCAAGUGACCAAUUUGGCCUUUACAGGAAGGGGAGAGAAUGUGAUUUUUGGUGAUUUGGGCUAUGUUUGGCAUGUCAUUUUAGCUUAUAGCUUAUUUGACUAGCUUAAAAGCUCUUUAAAAGUGUUUGGUAAAAGAGCUUAAUUCAGUAGCUUAAAACUUUUUUGAUAAGUUACCUCAGGUAGCUUAUAGCUUAAAGCUUAUUGAAUUUAGGCUAAAAAGCAUUUUUGGCCCCUGAUGUUUCAAGUUUGUGCAAAUUCUGCCCCUAUCUAUUUUUGUCGAUGUUUCUACCCCUCAUGUUUUCAAACAGUGCACCGUCUACCCCUCACGGAGGGGUAGACGGUGCACUGUUGAGGGGUAGACGGUGCACUGUUUGAAAACAUGAGGGGUAGACGAUGCACUGUUUGAAAACAUGAGGGGUAGAAACAUCGACAAAAAUAGAGUAAGGGCAGAAUUUGCACAAACUUGAAACAUCAGGGGCCAAAAAUGCUUUUUAGCCUUGAAUUUAUUCUAUUUUUUAUCCUUAUCAUUUUAAUAAAAUUCUAUAUAAGUAAUAUUAUAUUUUUUAGAUGAUAAAUAAAUUGAAUUAAAUUAAAAUAUUUAAAGUGGUAAUUAUUUUAAUAUCAUAUAUGUAUUGAUGUGUAAAUAAAAUAAUGUUAAAUGUAUAAAGAAUUAGAGAUUAAUUUCUAUACACCGACGGUGUAAAGUUUUUUUACACCGUCAACCAAUUAAAUUUUAAGAAUGUGAGAAAAUAUGUUUUUUUUUACUUGAUUUCAUUAAUUGACGUGACAAUCCUUACAAUAUGAUUGGUUGACGGUGUAAAAAACUUUACACUGUCAAUGCAUCAUUCUUUUUCUCAAAGAGAUUAUAAAGUAUGUCAUUUUUAUGUCAUUUUAUAAUUUGAGCUUGUUUAACAACUAGUUUUACUAAACACUUUUUUUCAAUGAGGUAGUUUUUCAGCUUUUUGUUUUCAGUUUUCAGCUAGCUUAUCAGCUUUUAGCUGACUUUUCAACUUUCAGCUAACUUAUCAGUUAGGCAUGCCAAACAUAACAUUUUCAUUUUUAUUAUAAUUGAUUAUAUUGCAAUUUUUUAUUUUUUUUAUUAGUAAAUAUUAUGUUAGUUGUUAAAUGCUAGUAAAUUAGUUCAUUCAGCAGAGUUUGAACCCUUACUCUUAAUCCGUCAAUACUCUUCAUUUCCCUAAGCUACCCAUCCCAUAUUCCCAUGUAUAAAAGGGAUGGCAAUAUACUAUUUUCUGUACUAAGAUCAGGUGAGAGAGUGUUUAAUAUUUUUUGAUAGGCAAUUAAAAUUAUAUUGAAAAGAAGUACAAAGGAUACUUCAAUCCAAUACAAGCAAAGAAAGAGAAAAAAUAAAACUGUUUACACUAACAUCUGCAGAAGCAAGCAAUACUUCUGCAACAAUUAUCCCAUCCCCUCCUUGAAGGAAGACUCUAAAGAAAAGACCUCAUUAAAACCUUACUAUGAAAAACCGUUUUGGGGAAAACCUAGUAAGAGAGUGUUUAAUGAAACAUCCUUCAAAACUUCUCGUGAAAUUUUAUAGAUAUGAUUCGAAAAUGAACUUACUGACCAAUUACUAACUAAAGUUACAAAUAAAGCCUUAGUUUAUGCUAAGCACUAAAUAACUAAAUCUUGAGCAUUGAGCACAAGCCUUAACUAAAAUGUUAAGAACAAGCAUUGAUCAAAAUGUUAGGCACAAGCCAUAAUAAUAAUCCAAUCACAAUGAUAGAAGCUAGCUAAAUCUGAUAUUGUUUCAAUGACACCCUAAUUUCAAAAUGAAUACAAAUAUGUUUUACAGUCUUUUCUUUUUUUAUUUUCCAAGGUAUCCUCACAGCAGUCUGUCAUGAGACUAACCUCCUAAGUCUUUGAGAUCAUGUUAAGUGAGUAGGCAUCUCCAACAAAUGUGUCUACAUACGCCCAUGAAUCAAAUCCUGAACUAGAUAUUUAAGGAGUCCAAUUAACUAUCUACUAAUUAUGCUACAUAUUGUUGGAACCUCACGGUCAUUCUAACUCACUUAUUUAUACUCCCUCUCUAGUUAUCUCCUACGACUAACUAUCUAUUAACCUCUAAUUAACCACUAACCGUGACUACCUAUCACAAGGCUGCACAAGCCUUGAUCAAAAUCAAGCAAUAGCCUGUAUUAAAAUAAAUAAAUCGGUGAGAUUACAUGGGGAAAGCAAACAAUAGCACGGAGCUUGGCGAAUUUCCAAGAUAAUCAAUACUUACACUUAAAUAUGUUUUGUUUUAAGAAAUAUUCAAAGGUGAACAUAAUUUUAAAAAAUAAAAUAUGUUUGACACGUCUAAUUUAAAAGCUAGAUCUUAACUCUUUGGUCAGCCCCUACCGCUUAGUGCGCUGACCGUGGGACGAGGAAUUAGUCUCACAGCUAUCGUCUAUGAGGAUACCUUGGUCAAGAAAAAAAACUAGAUUAAAGCUGAAAAAUUAAAUGAUUAAAAAUAAAUGUUUGGUAAAAUUAGUUGUUCACUAAAAUGAUUGGUGAACAUAAAAACAAGGCAAUGCAAACUACUACCGGUAACAAUAAAAAACUGGCACAAAAAAUGAGGUGUCCAACAGUGGUUUACAUGGUCUUGGAGUGUUAGUGUAUCAUUGUCGAGCCGUUAAAACAGUUAAAAUUGUAAAAUAACAUACAAAUGACAAACUAAUUUAUUUUAUAUUAAACAUUACUUUAUUUACAUUUUUUAUAUGAUAUUAAUAUUAAACUACAAAUGUCUGCAUCCGAUCCACUUAAUUUGCGAGCUAAUGAAUUCAAAAAUGAGCACAUAUUUUCCUUCUUAUAAUGUUGGGAUUCUCUUUUUAUAAUAAUUUUAGUAUCAAUUACGUCUUAAUUUAUACACAUAUAUAUACCGACACAUUCCUUCAGUAAGCCAACACUAUAUUCCUUGAUUUAUGGGAUGCCAAUAUACUACAGCCAGCAAUGAACUCACCCAUAAUAUGUACGUGCACUUAAUUCAGUCUUCAUGUAUAUAUGAACAUAAAUCUUACUCAAUACUGAUUCUUCUAAGGGUCAAAUCAGUUAGUGAUAAAUUAAAAAACUACAAUGAGUAUCUGCUUAUUGUCUUGAUUUAAUUCUGAUUGAAACAUUUUAAGAACAUCACAUACAGAAUCAGUGAUAUCCAUUAGGUGCAUGGCGGUGUGUUCCAUUUUUACACUAUUAAUGAAAAAAGGCAGGUGAAUUUAGCAUUUUAUAUAUAUAAAGAAACAACAAUUAAUAAAAUCUCUCAAUCACCUCGAGUCACAUCUUUCUCUUCCUCAUUUUAUUUUAUUCUCUCAUAUCAAUUUUUUACUAUAAAAGAUUGAAAUUAAAUUUACCCUAUAUACACUCUCAUAUGCGCCAUCCUUUGUGCAUCUCUUUUCUCCCUCUGAUCUUCUCCCUAGACUUUUGCUCUCUCUUUGUUGUGUUUAUAUAACAAUGGCUGACUACUGGGGGUAUCUCUUUGCUACAACAAAAAAUCCACCACCUCCCAUCAUCACCAACACCACACCACCUUCCUUGGCCAGUUUCACUUUCAAUGAAGAAGAAUAUAAUGAGGCAUUUUCUGAUGAGUAUCCUGAUUUGCUAAACCAGAUGCCCGCACCCUAUUGUUCCACCACCUACACCACUGCUAGUACUACCACUACUAGUAGUAAUGGUAUCAUUCUCAAUAGCAAUUCCACUGAUUUUGCAGGACAAAGCCACCAGCUUCUUGCUCCCCCUUCCAAGAAACGGAGACAACAUGUGCAGAAUCAACAAAAACAGUUUUUUCAAGUUCAAACAGGCGGCAAAGCAUCAGCAAAAAUAAGGUAAGAACUCGAAACUUUUCCUUUCAAAAUGGAUCUCAUUCGUUCAAAUUUCAUUGGUACUUUGAAACUUAAUCGAUUAGAACACAUUUGUGACUACAUUAAAUCAAAAUCCUUACAUUUCGUUUUACCUGUUGUGUAGAAAAAGCCUAGAGAAGAAAAUGGUGUUCUAUGUGACCAAAGAUCAACUCUCGUCUUCAGAUUCGUGGGCAUGGCGUAAAUAUGGACAAAAAUCCAUCAAGGGUACUCCAUAUCCAAGGUAACCUCUCAAUCAUGUUUAUAUCUUUUGAUUUGUUUUAUGAUUGGGAAAUACAUUUAUAUUUAUCAUAUAUAUACCAAUCCCUGCAUACAGGAACUAUUUCAGGUGUGUUGGAUAAAAGACAGUUCAGGUUUAUAUAGCGUAAGGUCUGCUUAUGAUUCACUACAAAUUGUUUCUCAACCUGUGGAGGGAAACGUCUUCAGUAAAUUAUGGAAAGCUAAGGCUCCUUCUAACUCCAUUGCUUUGGCCUGGACAAUUCUUCUUGUUAGAGUUCAAACAAAGGUAGACUUGGUACACAGAAAUGCUUUACCUGCUAAUUCAGGUGUGGAGUGUGGACUAUGUUUGAAUGAGGAGGAAACUUGCAGUCAUCUGUUUUUUGGGUGCCAAUUAAGCUGGAGGGUAUGGUCGAGAAUUUGUAGCUGGGUAAGUGUGUCUACUGUUUUGCAGCAAGAGCCUAUUGCCAACUUCUCACAUUUCUGUGUGCUCCAGGGAUCAGGUUCAUCCUUUUCUAAAGCUAUGGCUGUGAUCUGGAUUGCUACUGUGGGUGCAAUUUGGUACUAUAGAAAUGGAGUUGUUUUCAGGGGAGAAGCGGUGGAUGUUGACAGAGUUGUUGAAUUGAUACAAUUCAAGUCCUGGCUAUGGUUGAAGGUGAAAGGAAAAUGUACUUCUAUGUCUCAUUAUGAUUUUUACACACCCUGUACAUUGUAUGAAUUUGCUGAACUGAGCGUGGAGGGGAAAUGAGGUGCUGGUGGUCUGUUUUAGUUGGCUGUGUGUUUUAUUUGUGAUAAUACUAAUUUAGUAACAGUGUAGGUUGAUUUUUGGUGUGUCUAAUUUGAUUGUGAAAUAUAUUACAUCAUCUACAUGGUUGAUUUUGCUUACUGCUGCUUUUCCAAAUGGCAAUGGGAGUCUCGUGGCUGCAGAUCCUUUUAGUGAUAUUUGUAUCUUAUGUAAUAACAUGUGGAUAUGGGUACCCUGCUGCAGGGUGGCUAUGAGGACCAAUCUGAUAUGAUAAUGAGGAAUGUUGGUGGGAUACUUAUGAUUCUGGAAUUUUCUCUGCUGGAAGCUUGGAUGCUGUGGGGGGGGGCACUUCAUGACAGUGUUUAAAAGGAAUGUGGUUAAAAAAUGUUUUGUUCUGGAGGUUCUGUGUGGAGUGCUGAUGAGAAGUGGGGAGUGUUUUAAUUUAUUUUACUAGCUCAUUUAUUGGUUGCUGCCAGGAUUUUGGAUUGGCUAGAAGAAAAGACUUGAUGGCUAUGCUUUCUUUGAAGGAUGCAUAAAUGGGUUCAAAUUGGUGGUUUUAUUAUUUGUGGAUAGAUUGGUUUUGCUUGCUUGUGAAGGCAUGAGGAGUGAAGGGAAUUAUUUAGUCUGCAUUCUGGUUCAGAUCUUUUAUGGAGAAGCUAUUUCUUUGAUUGGAAAUAUUGAUCAAACAAUUAUCUGGGAUUCAUUCGUUCGUGAAUUAUCUUUUGUAUGGUUGGGCAGCUGAGUUUGGGGUGAGGUAUUAGAUUUCCUUGUAAACUUCCUUGAAAAUUUCCUCUUCACUUUUCAAAAUUGGUACUCUUUUUCCUUGCUAGGCUUUCCCAAGGGGGUUUUAUCCUAGUAAGGUUUUAAUGAGGCUUGUUUUGUUAAGUCUAUUUUCAAGGAGGUAUUAGGUGGGGUAGUUUCGACACUUUUAGGGUCUUUUGUACAUGUAAGUUUUAGCUUGUCUCUUCUUCUCUCCUUCUUUCUCUUUGUAUUGGGUUGAAGUACCCCUCGUACUUCUAUUCAAUAUAUUUCUUAUUGCCUAUAAAAAAAAAACAGCUCUAGUUGCGUGAAAGCGCGUUGAACGUAGCAAUGAGGAUAUGUUCAUGAUCACAUACACAGGAGAACACUCACAUUUCUAAACACUAACAUUUGAAAAGAAAUGAAGAAAUUACUCACCCCGUUAAAGUUUGUGAGAAUAACACUUAACUUCAUUCUUAUUUAAAAUACGUACCCCAAUAAUAAUCUCAGAAUUAUAUACACUUAGUUCAAUUCUUCUCUAAAAUCUCUGCUCCACCCCACCCCUUAAACACCUUCCAAAAAAUGCUAACAAAACAUUCCUUUAACUAAAAUAAAUUUAUUUAAAUAAAAAUAAUAAAUAGAAAAAUUUGUCUUCUAACAAAAUAAUAAAUAUAUUAUCAUAUAUAAAUAUUCUAAAUAUUUAUAAAUUAUCGAGAUCUUGGUGCGCUUCCUACUUACUCCCCUGUCAUAGUUGCAAUCUUGCAGCUCAUUCGCAUGGACUGGGGUCUCUCUGCUUCUAGUCCCUCGCAGUUGCAAUUUAGUGGCGGAAAAGCUAGCUCAUGGCUCUCAGUGCUCUUUCGCCUGCUUCGAUACUCGUCCUCCAGCAGUGCUAUCUUUUUUAGCCUCUGACAGAGGAAUUAGCUAGUUUUGAUGUUUUCCCUUUUUGUGGUUUUCUUAUAUUUCCUUAGCACCAAAAAAUAAAUUAUCUUAAAUUUAACUACGUAAAUUUAUUUAUAUUUAUUAUGGUAAAUAUACUUAUAAGGUAUAUUAACAUUUCUAUGAUAUUUUUAAAAGUAUAAGUGAAUAAAAAUAUUUUCAAAUUAAAUAUCCCUGUAGGUGCUAUGUUGGGCGGACUUUUCUUUGGGAUGUCGUUAUUCUGCUAUCUUUUUGGGUGGUUUUUUUCUCUUCCAAAAGGGCUUUUUUUUGGUAUAAACAUAUCGCAUCGGUCACUCUUUGUAUGUCGCUAGAUUUGGGACAUAGUCACAGUUAAGGCUCCUCAUCCCUCCCUAGAAUGUAUUGUGUGGGGAUCAAACCCGAGUGUACAUCCCACACACUCGGCAUGCGUUGCCAACUAAGCUACCCUUCUUAGAUCNNNNNNNNNNNNNNNNNNNNNNNNNNNNNNNNNNNNNNNNNNNNNNNNNNNNNNNNNNNNNNNNNNNNNNNNNNNNNNNNNNNNNNNNNNNNNNNNNNNNNNNNNNNNNNNNNNNNNNNNNNNNNNNNNNNNNNNNNNNNNNNNNNNNNNNNNNNNNNNNNNNNNNNNNNNNNNNNNNNNNNNNNNNNNNNNNNNNNNNNNNNNNNNNNNNNNNNNNNNNNNNNNNNNNNNNNNNNNNNNNNNNNNNNNNNNNNNNNNNNNNNNNNNNNNNNNNNNNNNNNNNNNNNNNNNNNNNNNNNNNNNNNNNNNNNNNNNNNNNNNNNNNNNNNNNNNNNNNNNNNNNNNNNNNNNNNNNNNNNNNNNNNNNNNNNNNNNNNNNNNNNNNNNNNNNNNNNNNNNNNNNNNNNNNNNNNNNNNNNNNNNNNNNNNNNNNNNNNNNNNNNNNNNNNNNNNNNNNNNNNNNNNNNNNNNNNNNNNNNNNNNNNNNNNNNNNNNNNNNNNNNNNNNNNNNNNNNNNNNNNNNNNNNNNNNNNNNNNNNNNNNNNNNNNNNNNNNNNNNNNNNNNNNNNNNNNNNNNNNNNNNNNNNNNNNNNNNNNNNNNNNNNNNNNNNNNNNNNNNNNNNNNNNNNNNNNNNNNNNNNNNNNNNNNNNNNNNNNNNNNNNNNNNNNNNNNNNNNNNNNNNNNNNNNNNNNNNNNNNNNNNNNNNNNNNNNNNNNNNNNNNNNNNNNNNNNNNNNNNNNNNNNNNNNNNNNNNNNNNNNNNNNNNNNNNNNNNNNNNNNNNNNNNNNNNNNNNNNNNNNNNNNNNNNNNNNNNNNNNNNNNNNNNNNNNNNNNNNNNNNNNNNNNNNNNNNNNNNNNNNNNNNNNNNNNNNNNNNNNNNNNNNNNNNNNNNNNNNNNNNNNNNNNNNNNNNNNNNNNNNNNNNNNNNNNNNNNNNNNNNNNNNNNNNNNNNNNNNNNNNNNNNNNNNNNNNNNNNNNNNNNNNNNNNNNNNNNNNNNNGAUCUAAUGUGUAUGGAGACUGAUAAGUAGGUGGAGCAGCAUUUCCAUAAUCGUACAUCCUGUAGCUAUUCUGACCUGCAUAAGAACCACUAGAUCGGUAACCGAGGGGACCCAAAUUGUCAACAGGGAGUGAGUAGUGCUGUUGUGAUAUUCCAGCUGGGCUUUGUGUGUGGGAGGUUCCAUAGGUUGCUGCCGCGUAAGGAUUAGCACUGGAACCAUCCAAUAUAGUCUGGCUGGGGUAGCUGAAUGGUCCAGAAAAUCUUGCACUUGGACUAGGCUGUAGAGAGGGUGGUGCCAGGUUCCUGCGACUAAAAGAUGGUCGGUAUGCAUUGGGUUUUGCUGAUUUGGCUGGACGGGAAGAGCUGGAACUGUUACCACGACCGCCACCUGAUCCGUAGGCUCGCUUUUUCGGAGGCCUAAUUACAGUUGAUGAACUCCUCUUCCUUUCAGCCUUAGUUCUCCCCAAAUGGGUAACCCGCUUCCUCAGUUUAUCAAGGCUGAAUUCGGAUUCAAGUUUGUGAUCUUCUACACAUCUGAUUAUAGCCCUUAUGGAAUUCAUCUCAAGAGUACUUGAUUCAUCCUGAAAAACAACAUAGAGAUGUCAGAAAGUGGUCCAUUGCAGUAUAUGGAACUGAAUUAGAAAGGUAGUUAUCCAGACCGUUGCAGCCUGACUGUUGUUUCCCUUCGCUAAUAUGGUAGCAACAUUCUUUUUGUAGUUUCGAACGUAAGACUUGAGCAGGUCGAUAGGAGGAAACUUCUCAGUCAAACCAGAUUCUGAAGCAAAAUAAACAGCUUCUAUCUCUUGGCCAUUUUUAACUAGUUCUUCUAUAAUUUCUGCACAGAACACUAGCUUAUAUCAGUAUUUGCAUUGGCCAGAAAAUGAAUCACAUAUCUAACAAAAUUCUGCCUCCUAUUGCAUCGAAAAGUGUAGAAGUAUUAUAAAAUGUGUCAAAUAAAAAGGAAUCACGGUAAAAACUGUGUGAUCACAAGCUGAAAUUUCUCUUACAAAUUGAUUUGAAGCAAUUUAUCCUUCCUACUUCAACUUUAUUAUCAAGAAAAUUUAAAUCCUAAGCACUAGCACAUCUACAAGAAUAAAUGUAAUGGGAAAGGGGAAUUUAUGCAAAUAUAAGACAUCAAGACAUUUAAUUAGGGGUGCAUAAAGGUAAUAAGAGACUUGUAGGAUGCUGUGGCCUGUUGACAUGUACCUAGUAGCAGUAAUGGUCAAUGCUUUUAAGUCGAUAAAAGCUAUAUCCAAAGAAAAGAAACAAACAACUUCUUUAAGAAAACAGUUUAAAUUUAGUAAAAAAAUCCCAUAGUCUUGCACUAAAUUUGAUCACCAGAACAAUCCCUUAGGUUUAUCAAAAUUACUUCCCUAUUUAAAUUGAAUAAUAUAUUAAAGGGAAUACAAACGUAAGGAGGAAUAAAAAAAGGGUAAAAUGCAAGGAAUCUCCUUCAACACCAUGUGCUGAAAACCCCACUAUGCUUCUACACUACUCAAUAUGUCUCAUUGAGCUAUCAGAAACAUGUGCGAAACAGCUUCUGUUAACUCUCCAUCCAAGCGUCUCAUACACUAAAGAGAAGGAAACUCAUGCAAGGGUACGUGAUUUGUGAACCCUAAAUGGCUAAACAAUAAUUUUUUCUCAGUCUAUAUCCACUAUGUCCCCCACCACCACUAUUUCCCUCACAAUUUUUUGCAGUACUUCAUUCCUACUUAGACUUCCCUUUUUCUUCACCCAUUCCCACCAUUACUCCGCAUAAAAUUUCAUGCCUUUUCAUUUCCAACCCUUUUUUGCUUCCAUCUUUAACACCACCUGCAGGCCAUGGACGGAGCCAACCUCCAACUUCUAUUGCCAGCACCACAAAAAGAAAGUCGUGCUCACAACACAAUUAAUGCCAUCAUAACUGGACACUACCAACUCAAACAAAAUGGAAGUUUACAGAGGAAGAGUUGCAGAAGGGUGUCCCCUCAGCUGAAAGAGGCAGAUUGGGACCUUCAGAAUGUGGUUUCAGUCAACUCUGAUAACAAGGGUGUUUUGUUAGUGACAUUGGUGGAGUGGUGGUGUGAAGGCUGUGAUUUUUGAAGGAGUUCAUUGCCAACUAAAUCAAGCUAGUCCUUCAGCUCAAAUUUUCCUAAGUUUUAGUUCCCUUUCUCUCUGUUUUACUGAUUUGGAUCAGUGACCUGGAAUAAAACAGUCUGAUAUGUGAAGACACAUUUAGAAGAGAGAAUUUGUUUGGCUUUGCAACCAUAACACUUGGGCUUGCAUAUAUAGUUUCAAGCAGGAUAAUUUUUUACAGGUUUGAUGUUUGAAAGAUUUAGCCCAUGAUUAUAAAAUAAAAACACAGGCAUGCAAAUAGAAGAUGGGGGUCAGUAAAAAUAGGAAACAAUAGUAGGUGGCAAAGCAAAUUUGUUCUAAAUGCAAAUGGGGCUGUUAGGACUUAGGAAUGACCUUCCUGUUAAGGUAGUCAAGGGAGAGUUAAGAGAUACUUUUCUGGGAGAUCAAGGGAAUGGCGUUAGGUAGUUUAAAAGCGCAGGGAGCUAGUGCAUAUAACUUAGAAGAGGCUGAUAAUUUUACAAGCACUUGUAAGCUGGUGAAAUAUAUAACACAAAGUAUCGCCUUUUCAAUUCUAGUCCUCAGGGCUCCUUGUUUUUAAGCCCAUAGUAUAUAAAUAUACGUAGAAAUUAACAGAAAAGUGCAAAAUGCAUCAAACUGACACCAGAUUUAAACGCAAAACAAUUGAGAGAUUCUUUUGAUUCUCUUUAUAAUGUAAAUGUAAACCAAUGACAAUGAGGGUUGAAGAUGGCCCUUCUCAGUAAAAGAGGACUAUAAACCGCAUGGGGUAAGCCUUAACUACAAGAUUCUAAUCCUUAGCCAAACUAGUGUUGCAGAAAGUAAAGUUGCAUCUUAAAAUGUUACUUGAGCAGACAAUACAUAAUUGAUUAAGUAAUGCAAAAAGAAUACGAACCUAUCAUCUCGUCGCCGAAAUCCAAUGAAGCAGCAAGCUUUGCCAUAUCCCUCCUGGUACCAAACUCCAUGACCAGCUUCCUCAAAUACUCCUCAUCGAACCUGGACCUCAACCCAAAGCACACCACCAUCUGCAUAAACAUCACCACCUCCGCCGCACCCUUCUCCGUAUCACUAUCCAUCUGCUCCUUCCACGAAUCCAAGAGACCCACAGCUCUCUCAACAACCCUUCUAGAGAACCCCGGCGAGUCCGAACUCAGAGCCUGAACCAGAAGCCCACAUGCCCACCUCUUAUCGGUGAGCCCAGACUUAGAACCCAUCAUUUUGCUAUUGAGAAAUUCCUCCACCGCGUCCAACACCAGCUUCGGCGGGUCCACCGCCUCCGCUAUCGCCGGCGCUAUCUCCGCCCUCAGCCACGACGACUCCUUCCGCUUGGAAACAAUGAACCGCAACAACGCGGAAGAGUCCAUCUUCCGCGAAAGGGAUUUCAACGUGGCGGGCAAUUCGGAGUCCGACGGAAGGGGGUUUCGGAACUCAGCGAUAGCGGCUUCCUUCUGCUCGUCGAUACGAGCGGCAGCGGCGGACUCGCGCUCCGGGAUGGAGGUCUCGUGGGUGUUGAGCGAUUCGAGGGUUUCAUUGUAGUGGGAAUCUAGGGUUUGGAACUUGGAUUCGAGGGAUUGGGUUUUCUCGGAGAGGGAAUGUUGGAGGGAGGAGAAGUGGGUGGAGAGGGUGGUGAAUAGGUCGGUGCAGGUGGCGAUGAUGCUCUUGUGGGUUUGCAGUUCCUGGAAGAAUUGUUCGACCCUGUCAGAGGGUGGUGUUGUUGCCAAUUUGGUCGCCAUUGUUGAGUCUCCGAGAGCAACACGAAGAACCCUAAUAAUCGUUUUCAGAACAAGGAAAAUAAUGCACUUGCGAAAACUUUUACACUUGGUGCAUAAAAAUGAAACUCUAGCUAUCUCUUUUUCUCUAUAUAUAAUUUUCUGAAAACUCAUUUCUAAAUAGAGAAAGUUAUAUUGUGUGAAUCUUUAAGCUGAGUUUAUUAUGUCUAGAUAUUUGUUGACAAGUCAAAAUAAUUUUAUUUUCAAUGGCAAAGGGAGGCUCUUAUUAAAAAGUUCUUGACAAAAUAUCGGAUGAUGAAUGGGCUUAUGGGCAAGAAUACAAUUAGGAAAAUUGGCAGUCCAAACAUCAUUCUCAUGAGUAAUGAGGGUUGAGCCAAACAAUGUGCCACACAAUUGGCAUCCUUACGCGCGCCAAUUCCAUCUCUGAUAGGGGAUCGAAUGCGGCGUCUUCAAAACCUCGCCACUUGAGUCGUAUGUGGGGGAAAUCACACGUGCGGUUCUUAGGAGCGAGAGUUAGUAGGAACCAUCCGAACAAAGGAAAAGGAGAUGGAGCUAAACAAAGAAACCAUAUCAGCAAAAUAUCGUAACACUAGCCCUAGAUAAGAAUUUUGUCUCUCCUUCCCAACAAUUGUCUUAAUCACAAACUUGUAGUCAAACUCUAACAUAAUUUGUGAGAAACACAACCUCAAAAGUCAGGUUUAUCCCAACUUGAAGUGCAACGCUUCGGCAACCGUAACCCCAACACUCAUCUCCUCCUUUUUAUUAGGAGCGCUAUAAGUACCUUCACAGUUCCAAACACCGGAGCCACACCCCCAUCUACCUAAAGUGUCAGCCACAUCCAAAUUGAUCUUAUGGGAGCCUAUCGUCGGAGGGAGUCAAUGCCAUUAUCAUAUGAACACAAGCACCAGCAAACCGAGUGCAACACAAGCGGCGUGAGUUGUUAAUAUAAUACUACCAAACCUCUCAUCAAAAUUAUGAUCUACAUCAUAAGAUUAAGAAAAACCUGAAAUAGAGGAGAAUCACACAUGCUUGCUCAACCAACAUUCACGAAACACAUGAUUCAAACACUACACAACUCCAUCACUUGUAGCGAAAAACACUCUUUUAAUAAAUUAAGAAAAUAAAGUUCCCUCACACACUUAAUACACAAUUGGAUAAUGGAAUAUAAGUUUAGGUGUUAUCAGCUUAAAUUCUUCAAGUUCUUUUUUUUUUAUAACUUAAAUUCUUCAAGUUCUUGAUUCUAUAUGUUACUUCAUUUUCUCCAUCUUGCGGAAAAGAAUAAAAUAAAGCAUAAAAGUGCAUAAAAAAGCAAACCGCGUCUAAAAGGAACCGAUGGAUGAGAAAGAAAGUAAAGGCAAAAGGAAUGGAGAUACUAACAAGUAACAAUAAUGAAUAAUCAUAUCUUAAUUAAUCUCUUCAAUAAUUACAUGGAGCAUAAAAAAUAAAAGAAAAUCCAGAAAUUCCAUCGACAACUAAAAAUUAAGAGAAAAUAAUCUCAAAUAAUAAUCGUUGAAAUAGAACAGAAAAAUGAAUCAAUGGAAGAUGUAUGUGAUCGCCAGAGCCACCAGCAAGAGGAGGUAAGCAAUUCCUUGAUCCAACGCGGCGCCAUCACUGGUAGGCGCAGGAGCAGGCGCGGAAACAGGAGAAAACGCGUGAGCACCGCCGAGAUCGGAGAUGGCGAAGAGAACCAAACUGAGAAUCGCGAAAGAGAAAAACCUCACUGAUUGCAACAUUUUUCCGGGAAAAUUAAUCGAACAGAGAGAAAAUCGAUCGAGGUAUGAGAGAGGAGAGAAGUGAAAAAUUGGUAGUUACUAGUAGAAUUUGUGAAGGAUUUGAAUUUGGUGAGUGAAGCGUGGAAGAGGUGUUAUUUAUAGGUGAAGCGAAGAAGAAGAGUCUCUUGUACUGAAAGGAAAUUUUCAACUAAUGGAAGGAAGGAAGGAAGGAAAGUGUGAGUUUCCAGAAACGCCACCAACGACGACUAAACUCGGAUUCCACACGCGUUGAUUAAUAAUUUUCAAUUUUUUUUAUUUAUCUUAUAAGAUUACUAAUUAUUGUUAUUUUACCAUGAAAAGAAAAGAUAUACUGUCAUGACCAAUUAAAUACCAUUAUUAUCUACAUAUACAAUUGAAUAUUCUAUCAUUUUGUAUCAAACACACACGUUUUACAUAUGAUCACUCACUAGCCGUUGUUGACAAUAUUAUUAUCAGCAACUGAUUUUGAAGAUAAUAACUAUAAUACUUACACAAUCUAUAUUUUCACGCUUUUUGUUUUUCACAUGAGAAAGAUAAUUUGCACGAAUUAAUCACCGAACCUCCUACAUUCAACCUAUGUGUUCCCUGACUUUUAUUACUUUGGCUAUCAUUCGGAGACAUUUUUCCUUAGUUUACAUGGAGGAUUCUUUAUAAAAUUACAAAUUGAAAGUGAUUUUUUUUGAACUAUUGGAAGUAAUUAAGAUAUGCAAUCAAUUUUAUAUUUAAGUGUGUACUUAUUGGUAGGGUUGUACCACGAGUUGUUGGUUCAAGCAAAGAACUAACCAAACUUGUUGGGUUGGGUUGGUUUUUCAUUAACUACAUUACAGUUCCAAACACGAACUAAUCCAGCCUGACUAAGUUUAAAGAAUGUGAAAAUGAAGUGAGAUUAAGUGUGUUAGAUUAUGAGUAAUGAGUGUUUGAAAAUGAAGAUCAUGAAGAUGGAGAACACUUGAGUAUUUUUUUUGUUACAAAGGGAAAGAAAAUUAGAAUAACAAACUACACUACAAUUGUAUUUUAAUACAAGGAUGAGAUCACAUUAGAGGGAUGAUGCUUCCAGAUGCGAUGCAAAAAACCAUCUCUCGACGCUUGCGAGCUAACAUGUUCGUCGCAUUAUUUGCAUCUUGAGAGAUAUGAACAACCGUAACAUGCCAAUCCCAAAGAAGCAUGACUCUGAUUUUGUAGAUUGUAUCCCUCUCCCAAUUACUACUCAUGUCAACAGUAGUUGAAGAACGCCCACCACUGUCAUACAAUCUAAGGCACGUACAAUAUUUCGGAAGCCAAGGUUCCACCCAUGCUGCAUACUUGUCUUGACUACUAGCAGCUCGACGAAAUUCCCAAAAUCUAGUUGUUUGUCGCACCCUUCAUGACUGCACUGUAACCAUUCGCGCCACACUCUAGUUCAAGCUUCAUGUUAGAUAUGCAAAACAUCUUUCAAAUUACGCUUGUUUUGUUAAAAACAUACAUCUACAACCCUAGAUAUCAGUGACAUUUUACUCGAGUAAUGAUACAUUCACACUUCAUUUUCUCUCGCAUCUCAUUUCAACAUACUUUUUUUUCUAUCUCUGUAAGCGUUUUCUGUCACCUUACCUAUAAUAUCACUAAUUUCUCUCAUUUCUCUUUUCUUAUUUAUCAAGGUGGAGGUGAAAAAGUGGUGUCCUCUUAUACCUUGCACAAAAUCCAGUGGCGGUUAGCCAUCCCCUUACCUUACCCGCCUCAUUAAGGCCCCUUUCAUUUUGUUCCGGUAUGGAACUAUCGAGCAAGGGCUAACCAGUUUGAGAGCGAUAGAGAAUGAACGAAACUAGAAAAAUGCCUGAAAAAUUAGAUCCCCCACCGCUUGGGUGGUGUCUGAUAUUUAUAGAUUGAGUUUCGGUCCGCCCGGACCAUGGGUUGCGUGACCCAUAUUUACAUUAGGCUGAUAAGCCCAACUAAUCAAUAAGCCCAUAUCAGACCACAAGCCCACAAGACACCGAGUCUUAAAAGCUUUAAGACGAAGUGUGUCUUUUUUCGAGCCCACAAGUAAUCAACUCACCCAACACUACACAAAGACUAACAAGUAAUUGACACGCCCAAAAUGUGCAAAGGAAAUAAUGGGCACACAGGCUCCAAAAUCAAAAUUUAAAAGGCAUAAAAGCUAAGUAGUCAUUCCUUUGUCAUUUCAACUUUUGCUGUUACUUCUUGAUCUUUGUGUAGCGUGUGCAAGUUGACCAAAAUCACCUCUUCGCAUCAAUCACAGCCUCACUGUCAUUAUCAUGAAUAAUUUUCUCUUCCCCUAAACCAUGAUUACAACCUGCUCUCAUAAUACCACAAGUAAUAAUGCACAAUAAUUUGAAACUUGAACAAAAUAAAAGUUGAAGACUUAAAUGUAAAUCAAUAACAUGGAACACACUUACUUCAUAUCGCUUGCACAUUCAUCUAUGCUCAGUGUAGUGUAUUCUUUGUAAGAUGAACUUUCCAUCAGAAUCAUUAUGUGUUUCUUUACUUUUCAUCGGAAUUGAUCCGCCUUCAUCAUUAUUCAAGCACAUCGCUUUCUUAUUUUACUGUAUAUAGUAAAAUACUCUUGAGUGAAUCUCAAAAUUUUAUAAAGUUUAAACUUAAUCAACUACUUUUGAAUCAUAAGGCCUUCGUGUAUAUAACUUAGUCAAAUUUUCAUUUUUGACAUAGUUAUUCAUGGAAAUCAAAGUCACGAUAUUUGAUUUCAUUAGUAUGCUCGCGUGGAGACUUGUGCUUAGUUUGGACAAGCUUAAAUCCAAUUUAAGACUGUGCUUAUGAAUUCGUGGUCGAAUGCUCUUGUUUUAAGAGACUUACUCUUUUCUCAAUUGUCUGACGUCGCCCAAUUGAUAGACCUUAGUUGAUAAGUUUCCGCUAUGGGUAAAAGAAAUAAGUAAAAUGAUACGCCCUUGAUCACUUUAAAAAGGUUAUGCCUCGUUAAAACUCUCCCGCCUGGGGUAGAGAAAAGAGUGCAUACCUGUUAUUCAUUUAUAGUUGAUGCCUCGUUAAAAACUCUCCCGCCUGGGGUAGAGAAAAGAGUGCAUACAAAUAAAAUGUUACGCCCUUGAACAUUUUAUAAAAGGUUAUGCCUCGUUAAAAACUCUCCCGCCUGGGGUAGAGAAAAGAGUUCACGCUUGUUUUUUUCUCUUUUUCUGUACAUAAUGUUGUGUGCUUUGACUGGUUUUAGUCAACUCAUCACCACUUUCGAAAGUCACCGGCACAAAUGUCAUAUCUUUGCGCCUUUGGGACUUGGGCAGGGCGGUCCAAUUUGCGUCGCCCUACUCGCUUUUCACGAUUCCAGACUUCAUGUUCUUUGAUACCAACCCACUUCUUGUUCACAUGCCUCCUCCUAGGAAGUGUCUGUCAUUCUCAUCUCCUAUUUUGAGCUAGUCCAUCAAAUAGGCAGUGCACAUACAAGCCCCCCUGGUACAUGAUUGAAGAUGUCUAUCAUCAAACCAGAAUGUUCAGACUUAAACAAACUACUCCCUUCCUGACUAUUGCAUACUCAGAUCAGUUCAUGCUGACUCAUACACAUAACAACUCAUGCAUAUGCAUCCUCACAAGCAAACAAAUAACCGAUCAAUUAUUUUCUUCAUUUGUAACAUGAAUUCAAUUUUGGUACUGCAUAUGUUAAAGCAGGCAAUUCUACAACCGGAUAUCACAGACAAGAUCAAUGCAGAAAAGAAUGAGAAUGCUGAUCAGAAGUCCGAAGCAAAUCAAUUCAGACAGAACAAAGACAACAGAAAACUGUAUAAACACAAGUUAUGAUGAGGAUGAAUGGAAGAAGAUUCCUGAGUCACAUUUGCUCAACAAUUCAGAGACCUCGAAAGUACUAUUCAAAAGCCACUGCUAAGGAGUUACAAAAAUCACAAACAAAAGUUAUUAUGUUUUGAAAACUCAGCAUCCUUCUCUUUGGUUUUUUGUCAGUUCUAUUUGAAGUCCUAAAGACAUAUAUAGCAAAGUCAGCAUUGAAGUUAUAAUUUCUUGAUAGCAAGUUGAUCAAAAGGAUUUGUAAAAGAAAACAUGACACGUCAACAGUCAUAUUUAGAACAAACGAAGGUUUAUAGACCUCAAAAGUACUAUUCAAGUAUACACAUAGCAUGAUUGGAGAUCGACUAUUUAUGAAUUCAAGAAAUCCAACAUCGUGAGGGCAAGUCACGCGAGGAAAUAACCACUCAAGAUAAAAUCAAACUUUGUAUUAAAGCAAAACACUUGGUGCUGAAGCCAAAACGAACUUUAGAAAACCAAUUUCCAGCCAGAUAUUCAUGAAGCACAAAAUGCUGCAUAAUUCUCCUAUGCAGAUAACUCUAAAAAGUUAUGGAAGCAUUGUCUCAGGCAAGAAAAGCUCAUGAAUAGGACCAUCAUCUUAUGAUAAAAAGUACAGCAAACAUAAUCCAACAUUAUCAAGCCUGCUAGCAUUUCUUCUACCAUUUUCAAAAAUGGAAAGUUGAACAGUAAAGAAAGUAAAAUUACACCAAUUCAUAUCACAAUUUCAGUCAUGAUACCCCAAUUUAAAUGAUAGAUAAGAAUUCACAUAUGCAAAAUUAGCAAAUCAAUCUAGUGGAAAGGAAAUAACACUGCCCUGGUACAUGAUGACAGAAUUGACAAGCAUUAUGGCAUUUGAAGAUGCAAAGUUUGGCUGAAGCAUUUCGUCGAACAGUUGGUGUGCUCCAACUCAUAAGCUCCUUCUUCUUAAUCCGCCAUGCCCCCCUCUUUCUCGUAUCAAACACAAAGAAAAGAAUGAUGGAAUUAAUUUCAAACCAUUGAUAAUCGGAGCACAAAUCUAAUGGAAACAAAACUGAAACAGAAAGUAGAAGAAAUAUUUGGAGGAACAAGGAUCUGUUUGAAUGGUCCUGAAUCAAUUUGGUUUUAUUGAACUCAUGGGCGAACAUGGACGAUUUCGACCCAGAGUGGCGGUUGAGAAAGCAUGAGCGGUUGCAAACUCCGAAAAUAGCAGUUGAGACAAAAUGGUCGUUUAAAUUCUGGUCGUGGCGGUUGAAAUUGAGUGGGCGGUUGCAACUCAAAAGUGGCGGUUGUGCAGUUCCAAAAUGAAUGAAUUGGGAUCUGUUGAUGGUUUUGAACCAGGUCCGGCUACAGAGGUGGUUCUCCAUCUUGAUUUCCAAACCCAAAUUGUGAUCCUCCAACCUUCAAUCUACUUGACCUCUGUCAUUUGUGAAGUUUAGGAACUGCAAAAUUGAAAAAGGAUUGAAAGAGAAGGAGCAUGGACGAUGGUAAAGGCGAACCACUUUGUUCAACCCUUCCACCGCCCACAAAACGCAUCGCCCGCGAGCACCAAGGAGUUUCGCCGCCUCCGUUCACGUCCUCUUCGUCGUCGACGCCCGCGAGCACCAAGGAGUUCCGCCGUUUUCUCUUCUCUGCUCUCCUUCACGUUUCCUCUAUCUGUUUCCUAAUGUUGUUUGAGUGGCGAAGCAGAUCCAUCAAACAUGAAUGAUUUGUGUCUACCAUGAACUCCCAUUCUCAUAGUGCGUUGAGCAAAUUUUUGGUUUGAUGUAACCAUCCUUUUGAAACUGACAUUUUGACAUAAAUUGAUUGCAUCGCUUUCCCUUCAAUUUCGUUCGCCCUCCUCUCUCAGAAGUAGAAAUCACAUAGCCUCUUGUUCGUGGUAGUAGGGAUUUGUUUUACAGAAGCCCCACGGUGGGCGCCAAUGUUCCGGUAUGGAACUAUCGAGCAAGGGCUAACCAGUUUGAGAGCGAUAGAGAAUGAACGAAACUAGAAAAAUGCCUGAAAAAUUAGAUCCCCCACCGCUUGGAUGGUGUCUGAUAUUUAUAGAUUGAGUUUCGGUCCGCCCGGACCAUGGGUUGCGUGACCCAUAUUUACAUUAGGCUGAUAAGCCCAACUAAUCAAUAAGCCCAUAUCAGACCACAUUUAUAUCCAAGUGAGCAAGCACAUGCCACGUAGGAGUAACUCUUGGAUUAGAGGCACGAAACAUGCUCACGUGGCAGCAUCAGAAACAGGUGGCUACAGAGAGUUGCUCUGUUUUCUUCUUUGGCCCACACACAUACACACACUAGCUUUGUUCAAUAGUGGCUUUGGACCAAUGCAGAGUGAUAUGAUAUGUCCAAAUUCCAAUUCCAAUUCCAAUAGAAAAACGCAAACACAAACCACUCUCAAGGAAUCUAUCUACAAAUUUAUGAGCCUUUAGUUUGAGCCAAACACUCAAGAUCACUAAAGAGGAAUAAGAAAGACAGAGAAGAAAUAGAAGAAAAAAUGUGUCAAGAGUUCCUUUUGUGGCGGUGCACAGAAUUAGAUGGCAUGUGUUCAGGGGGGCAGUAGUACUACCUAUGGUGGUUGAAGGGCAAGAACUGGCGGUGACAGCAGAGGCUAGCAGCGAAGGUGGAAGCUCCGGCGAGGUGGGAUCAAUGAAGCGGUGUGUGUGCUCGCCGUCACAGCAUCCAGGGUCAUUCCGGUGCCGGCAACAUCAAGCUAAGUAUGUGUGGCGCAACAACAGAACAGAGCAAUCAAGUAGAAAAAUUGAGGUGUGAUUCAAUAUAAGCAUGUACGUAUUAAAUCAUUUUUCUUCACCCUUUUGUGUUAAAUAAGCUAAUGCAAUCAAGGAUAUUAAGGUGUGGUUGCCGAAGCCUUGCGAAUUUGCGCAUUAAUGUAGAUUGAUACGGCCGCAAUUGUGAUUGACCGGUGUGAAUAAGGUGACUCCAAAAUCUGUUAUGAUGUUGUAAUUGUGGUUAUGAACUGCAAUUUGAAACAUAAAUGCAGUAUAAUUAUAGGAAUUAUAUCACAUGAACUUUUGUCAAGUAACUCAUCUUUCAUUUGAUCGAGUGCGCAAAUUGUAUAUGCGCAAGAAUUGUUUAUCCAUUUCUUUGACAUUGUUGUUAUUUGAUUGUUUCUGUGAGGAGAGAUAAGAAUGGAAUUGAGGAAAGUAUUUGUAGAAAUCUACACAUCCAACAUGAAAAUUAAGAGUCAUUUUACAUCUAAUUAAUGAUCUGAGCUAAUUGUCUGAGUUAAGCUGUACUACAUUAAACACAUAGGUACAACAUUAAGUACAGCUCAAAUUUUAAAUGGUGAGAUGAUGAAUUAAGAUAGCCGUAAGAUGAUGAAAAUUAUAGGAAAAUUGAAGAACAAAUUAAAAAUGAGAGGUGAAGAAAACUAAAUAAAUCAUGAGCUUUAGCCUUAAAAUGGGGGAUCAUUGCAUCUUCCUGGACUUUUUUCAACCAAAGAAUAUAUAUAAAUACUGCAUAUAUUGGACUCAUUCUUCUUUCUCACGAGAAUUAGCAUAAACUUAAUUUAUAAAGCAUCCAAUCUUUACCCUUCGUUUAUAUUCUUCCCCUUUUGUUUAUUCUUGGCAAUUGGCAUAUUCACUACCACCUUUUUUUUGUUGGUCACUCCCACCACCUAAAAUGACUUAAAUUGCAACAUUGGGCUGAAUUCAAGCAAAGGCCCAAGCCUUAAGUAUCCUCACAACAGGGCUGACCCGCAUGAUGCUAGGAGAAACUCGUUAGAGUUCUUGUGCUAGUUUUUUUUUUUUUCACAAUGUAUGGCAAGCCCCAACUUCUGGGAUAGGAAACUCCCAUACAAUCCCCAUAAAGGAGGUAACUACAUCCCACAGGGGGGGGGGGGGGGGGGGGGGGUUCAGCUAAAUGGAGAGUCCCAAAACUAACAGAAUGGCCUAAGUUAGCUAAAAAAUCAGCUACAAAGUUCCCCUCUCUUCUAGUGUGAGCGAAUCUCACUUCCCAUGGUUUCUCCUUCCAGCAUCGGAUUGCUCCAACAAAAGCAGCAUAAGGGUGGUGCGGUUCACACCCUUUGUCAAUGAGAGUUAUGGCCGUGGUAGAGUCGCUUUCGAUGAUUACCUUGAAGAGCCUCUUGUCCCAAGCAAUUGGGAGAGCCGUGAGGAUACCCCAGAAUUCUGCAACUAGAACGUUGGACGACCCCAAAUUUAUGCAGAAUCCCAUCAGCCUCCUCCGCAGGCUGCUAGGCUAUUUGGGUAUAUCACCGAACCAUCAACGUUGAAUUUGGUCCAUUCUAGAGGUGGGAACUCCCAACCAAUCAAGGUGUUAGUGUAAGCCGACUGCGCAGGCCGGCCUCUGGUUUCCUUGGUUCAUGGUGCUAAGGCCGGUUUCCAUAGCUAGAUGGUUAGCCAUCGCCAAGACGUUGCUGGGGUGAAAGGUUGGUUUUGAAAAACCACAAGGUUUCUGUUUUUCCAGAUGCUCCAUAACAGGAAGCCAAAGUGUUUUAGUCCAAAUGGACGUUCCUUGGAUGUUGCUCCCUAGUUUAGAUUAUAGUUAAGUGAAAGCACAUAAUUACUCCUUUUAAGUGCAUUACUUAACCUAAUUACCUAAGACCUAAGUCAUGAUUAAUCAGGGAGUAAAUGAGAUAAAGAAAUUAUGAUUUUUUAAUAAAUGUAAUGUAACUACAGACAAGAAAGUAACAAAUUAAAUACGUAGAUAUGCAAUGCAAUAAUGCCGGUCCAACGUAAGAAGAGAUUUAACUCAUUCAGAGGUAAUGACCAAUUUCGGAAACUGUUAUAUUACUUUAGUAAUAUUUUUAAUAAAAAAUAAUUUCAAAAGCUGAAAUGAUCGAGCUAAGACAAUGACUUAAUAUUUUUAAUAAAUAUUAUUUCAAAUUUCGAAAGCUAAAUUGAUCGAGAUAUUCGAAGCGAUAGUGAUACCAACGGAUGAUUGUCGUUUUUUUCUUUCUAAGGACAAGGAUGACAAAUUGACAAUAGCCCAACUGCAAAUAUUGAAAAAGGUGAUAAAAUAUGACGUAAAAGAAACAAUGUAUAGUGGAGAUAUUUAUCCUUAAAAUAUAAUGCAGUGGAUAAGAGUGACGACUUUCUGCAUAAGCUCACACCAUGUGAUCCCUAAAUUAUCAACGAUUUUCCUUCACAAAUACUACUUGAUUUGGAUUUGAGUGCAAAGUUAGGUAAAUGAUAACCAUUAAUAAAGCCAAUUGGCGCGAAUUUCGUCCAACGGUGUUAAAAAGUUGUAUGAAUUAAUAUUUAUAUAUAUAAGCUAUAUUUUUUCAAAUGUAAAAAAAUUAUAUAUAUAUAAGAUCUAAAUCCUUUUUAUCCUACUCGACUCAGAAGAUAAUUACUUUGGUGGAUAAUAUUUGUAAUUUGUGGCUUAAACAAAAUAAAUUUCAAUUUAUUUGGGUCCAAAUGUCAAUCAACUCUAUCCUCAUCCCUAAACGUUAGCCUCACAGAAUCAUUUGUUCAACCACAAAUUAAAUAAUUAGUAUUUAAAUAUGGUGAAUUAUUGGUCGUUUUUAAGUUGUAAUUUACCUGAAGAAUUUCAUCCUAUCAAUCCAGUUGUUUUUUUUUGAGCGUAUCAAUCCAGUUGUUGUAAUUACUAAUUAGGCUGAAGAAUUUCAUCCUAUCAAAUUUUUUUUUAACAUGGUUUGAAAUAAUAUUAAGAAAUAGACAUAGAAGCCAAUAAAUCAUCAAUUUCAUCCUAUCAAUCUAGUUGUGCAGUAACUAAUAAUAAAGUGUUAAAUAAGUGGAAAAUAAACUAGGCUUACGUAAAAAUGAAAAUACAAUUUUAAAUUAUAGAAAAAACAUUUACUAAAAAGAGAUACAGAGAUUUCGUGAAUGAGUAACAACAUUUGUAAAAAGUUAACUAGUUCCUGAAUGAUAACUCAAGUGUAAGAGUUAUGAGACAUAUGAGUUUGGAUGAGAAAGUUCAGAAAUCAAUAAUCGGAAGAAACAAUUUAAAGAGAAAAGAGAUUUUUUGCUAUAUAUUAUAUUCAAGAUAUAUAUAAUACAUGAUUACAUGACAAAGUAAGCAACUUUGGGCUUUGAUUAAUAAUCCAAGCAGGAUUAAUUAAAACAUAAAAGCCUUUUAAUUUAUACAAGCUAGUUUUGAUCAUGUGAUCAUCAUCGGAGCUUAAGAAAAGGAUCGAUUAACAUACACAUGGAGCAGGGGCUCACUAUGGAGAAACAGAAACCACAUGAUGAUGCUUGUUAUUGUUAGCAGGCAUGGAUUUGGAGCGUUUCAUCCAACUUGGUGGUGAUGAUGAUGAAUUAGAAGCCCCUGAACGAUGAAAACGGCACCGGAAAGAGCCUUCAUGUGUGGUUGGAGAACAGAGGCACUGUCCUUUGGGACAAGACAUCACUGAGCCUGACACGGUGUUGCUGCCACCGCUGUCACUUUUCGGUGAUGUUGAGACGGUGAGGUUAGCAUGAUGACCCUGCUGAAAUUGAGAAGCCAUGGUGAUUGAUGAAAUUGGUGAUGGAUGAAGCUGGAAGGACUAGAAGGUUCAAUUAUAUAGAGAAGAAAAGUGCACCUUCCUAGGCCACUCUAUUGUUUGUUUGGAUUAUAAAAUACCAUAUUGUUAUCCUGAUCAACAGUGAUCCUUUGAUCACUUAUUUGUCCACUUGUGUAACUGCAUCAUAGGAUAGGGUAGGACAUCAAAAUGAAUUUAUCAUUAUUCAAUUGCUAGGACCACCAUAUUAUUUACA